GAUGAACGCUGGCGGCGUGCUUAACACAUGCAAGUCGAACGAAGCACUUUAUUUGAUUUCCUUCGGGACUGAUUAUUUUGUGACUGAGUGGCGGACGGGUGAGUAACGCGUGGGUAACCUGCCUUGUACAGGGGGAUAACAGUUGGAAACGGCUGCUAAUACCGCAUAAGCGCACGGCAUCGCAUGAUGCAGUGUGAAAAACUCCGGUGGUAUAAGAUGGACCCGCGUUGGAUUAGCUAGUUGGUGAGGUAACGGCCCACCAAGGCGACGAUCCAUAGCCGACCUGAGAGGGUAACCGGCCACAUUGGGACUGAGACACGGCCCAAACUCCUACGGGAGGCAGCAGUGGGGAAUAUUGCACAAUGGGCGAAAGCCUGAUGCAGCGACGCCGCGUGAGCGAAGAAGUAUUUCGGUAUGUAAAGCUCUAUCAGCAGGGAAGAUAAUGACG
RNAcentral lists this ribosomal RNA (448 nucleotides) under uncultured bacterium. RNAcentral describes it as "bacterial SSU rRNA". It matches the Rfam family "Bacterial small subunit ribosomal RNA", at positions 28 to 456 of the family's 1533-position model. The record is from RNAcentral.